This 76-nucleotide transfer RNA is filed under the name Gemmobacter sp. RNAcentral describes it as "tRNA-Asn". The stretch from base 6 to 63 matches the Rfam family "tRNA", at positions 7 to 64 of the family's 71-position model. From Rfam's summary of the family: Transfer RNA (tRNA) molecules are approximately 80 nucleotides in length. Their secondary structure includes four short double-helical elements and three loops (D, anti-codon, and T loops). Further hydrogen bonds mediate the characteristic L-shaped molecular structure. tRNAs have two regions of fundamental functional importance: the anti-codon, which is responsible for specific mRNA codon recognition, and the 3' end, to which the tRNAs corresponding amino acid is attached (by aminoacyl-tRNA synthetases). tRNAs cope with the degeneracy of the genetic code in two manners: having more than one tRNA (with a specific anti-codon) for a particular amino acid; and 'wobble' base-pairing, i.e. permitting non-standard base-pairing at the 3rd anti-codon position. The record is from RNAcentral. Lineage: Bacteria; Pseudomonadati; Pseudomonadota; Alphaproteobacteria; Rhodobacterales; Paracoccaceae.
CCGGCGUAGCUCAGCGGUAGAGCAGUUGACUGUUAAUCAAUUGGUCGUAGGUUCGANNGUGCCAAAAAUCCCUGAA